AAUUUUGACAUUGGUGGAAUAAAUUUGGAUAAACCAAUCAGUGCAAAGCUAAAAGGAAGAACGAUAAGAAGUGAUGAGGUAAGGACUGAAUUUAAAGGGACCGACCACCUACUACAUGAAUUUGAGACGAGAUUGAACUCCUCGUCGGCGAGAUAUUUUCCUGGUCUAAGCUUCGUGGCACGUAGCAGUGCAAUAGCUCACGGAGGGGUAAUUUGCCAUCUACACGGUUACGACGACAUGGUGAAUUGGUCCUUGGCGUGGCCAAACCGAGGAAGCCGACAGCCACCAAAAUGAUCGUCGCUCCGCCAUGUCGCCGUCAAGUGGGCACGGUAGGGCAUAGCCCCGAUUCACCCCCCGGAUCUUUUCACUCUCCUGCCGAUCUUUUUGCUCACCGCGUAGACGCCGUCCUUAGCCUUGCGCGAAUCACGACGCUGAGUGUCACACCCGGGCUUUAAGGGACAAAGCCGGGUGCAUCUCAUACAUGCGCCAAAGAAGACAACAUAAAUAAUAACAGAGUGUAUAGAGAUAAUGUCACAAUAAAAUCAGAGUACUUAUUAUAUAGCGGAAGUCUUACAAAAUAAAAGAUAAAUAUAAAACGAACUAAGGAUCAUCCUUGGUGCAGCAAGUCAACUAGGAAAUGCCACCAAGAUCGAAUCGAACUCCUCCAUACGUGACUCCUCUUGAACCACCUGUUCUUCUCAUGUGGGGGUGUGAGACAGCAAGGGUGAGCUCACACAUGUUCAUCGCUCAACAAGUUGUGGGGAAUAAUGUGCAUGAACUCGCCAAAGGUGGGAGUUCAUGUGAUGUGUAAGGCUAAUCAACAACGGGGGUUAAAGCUGAGCAUUGCUUUUAAGUAGUUGGUCAAAAUUUUAUUAGUAGUUACUAAAUGUAAGUAAAUACCAAACCUUAAAUAAAGUAAUAGAACAAAAUUAAUAAUAAACCCAUGCAAUACAAAUGACAAAUUGAAUUUAAGUUCCAUAAAUUAAUCAUCAGAGAGUCCUGAGCUGCUCAUGACCGCGAGCAUGGCUAGUAUACCAGUUUUACACUCUGCAAAGGUUGUACCCUGUACCCACAAGUCGUGUAUCCCAUGUCGCAGGGUUAGCUAGACCCUUAGACACUAUCGAGAUGAAUGGCUAGGGAUCCACUACGAGGCCUUUACAAAGUUCCACUAGCUUCCGAAAACCCGCUACAGUUUAUGGGAAGAGCACUUGCAAGAAUCCCCCUCUUGACCGCCAUCGCAGCAAAAUCAAUCCGAGAACCUCCUUGCAUGCAAUCCCCUAUUGCCCUUGCCCCUUUCGGGUAAGGUAGUCUUCCACUAGCUUUCCUAGUUAGUUGGCCAAGGGCGUCCCAUUAAACCCUAGUGGUGGCACGUGUUUCUCAAGUUAAGCUCCUUGUUCCAAUUAACAUUAAUGAUCUUGACAUGAACAUAAACAGAAUAACAAAAGAAUUGGAACAUGGAUAUAAUGAAAUAUUAUCUCAAAAUCAUGUAAAGCAAUAGCAAAACUACCCAUGUGAUUCAGGGAUAACAAGGUAAAGAGAUAAACAUUCUAGGCUGACCUAUUGAGUCCCAUCAAAAUUAAACCUAUGCAUGGUAAAUGAUUAUAAAGAACAUUAUUGGGUAGCAAAAGUGAAUCAAGGGCACAACUUGCCUUCAAUGAGCUCCUGCUCAGCUACUUCUAUCUGCUGGUCACCAGGAUCCUCAGACACAGGCUCUUCUACUCGCCACAAUUCAAACAAGCACAGUAUAUAGAGAAAAUUAACAUCACACCAAACAUGUAAACAAAAUACAUAAUAAUAAUCUACAUAUUAAAAUAAAAUCCUAGGAUAAGAAAUCAUUAAUUUUGAGUUAUGGAUAUUAAAUUAUGAAUUUCCAAAGGUUUUAUGUGGUUGAGAUAGGAUUAAGUGGGAAAUAAAUUUUCUUAUUGUUUUCAUGACAAAAGAGAGCCUCUAUGUGAUAUACAAUAAUAUUACAAAAUUGUAGAUACUAGAAUGAAGUAAUUUGGACUAGAGAUGAAUUUUCUAUGAAUUUUAUAAGUUCUAGCACUUAUUUUAUAUAUUAAAAAACUAUUUUCCAUUUUUUCUCUGGUUUUCGAGUUCUCUGGAUUGGACCUCAUUUUCUGGAGAGUACAGGGGCUAAUUUAUAAAACUUCCCUAGACUCUGAGCCCGCCAGAGAUGAACCGCGGGUUGAAUUCAGUAUUUGGCGGGGGCUCUUUAACAAAUUCCCUGGUCGAAGGGUUACGGAGCGAGAUCAGCCACCCGAUCUGCUACGGAUGCACCGGAUUAGAUCCCCAACUCUGUGAAACGGUAAGCGGCCCGAGACGUCGGAUCAACGAUCGACGAGCCUGAUCUAUUAUACUCUAAUGGAAUCCUAUGCGCUAGAUCUGAAAUGGAUGGACCGGAUCAAUACAGGCGAACCGGUACGCGUGGACUAAUCACAGCCGUUGAUCUGCAAACCAACGACUGCGGAACGUUCGCCCCAGUCUCCCCUACUCCGUGCGAAUUCCGAUGGUCGACCAAGGCCACACGGCGGCGCGCCAUGGCUGACGAUGGCCAACCCAACCCUCUAGACCACAAACCUCUAAUCUAGGACGAGCUACGCGGUGCGCAAAUGAAAGGAAUCUACAUGCACACCGAACUCACCGAGGACAAGGUCGCACACAGGCAGCACACGGCGAGGCGCGGACGCGGCAGGAAUUCCAGCUCCGGUGAGAAAUUCAAGGCAAAAGCGCGAGUGCUUUC
This 2740-nucleotide long non-coding RNA is filed under the name Zea mays. Its description in RNAcentral is "long non-coding RNA (ZMAY_LNC002397)". Lineage: Eukaryota; Viridiplantae; Streptophyta; Magnoliopsida; Poales; Poaceae. The record is from RNAcentral.